Molecule: RNA transcript, 1523 nt
Organism: Tarenaya hassleriana
Lineage: Eukaryota; Viridiplantae; Streptophyta; Magnoliopsida; Brassicales; Cleomaceae
Gene name: probable WRKY transcription factor 23
Exons: 4
Source: RefSeq, a predicted model, not a curated record
AUUUCACUCUCCUACCCUAGCCCUUUUUGCCUCCGUCCCUCUCUCUAUGAACAUUUGCUCUCUCACUCGCUCUCUGUGUUUUUGAAGGUUUUCUCGUUGUAUAUUUCUGAUCGGUGUCUUCCCGAUCUCUGUUUCGAGGCGUUUUCUCAUCUGGGUCUGAUCGAUUUGCUGAGAGGAGAGCGAAGAAUAUGGAGAAUAUCGGUGUUGGACCAUCGUCGUUUGCCGAUUUUGCUCAGCAGAGCUUUUAUCCGUUACAGAGCGUGUGGGAUUUCGGUGAUUUAGCGGAGAGGAACUCGCUAGGGUUCAUGGAGUUGCUGGGUCUGCGUCAGGAUCUCAACCCUUCUUCCCUGUUCGAGACGGUGUCCCCUCAGGCCGCGGCCGAAGUGUAUUCUCCCAUCGCAGUGCCGUCGUCACGCGCGGCCUUAAAAGUGGAAUAUUUGUGCUCGGAAGCGGCGGUGAAUCCGCCGGCGACGCCUAACUCGUCGUCGAUCUCGUCGGUUUCAAGCGAGGCUGUAAACGAGGAGCAAGUGAAAGGGGUAUACGAAGCAGAAGAAGAAGAGGAGCAGGAGCAGAAGAGUGCUACGAAGAAGCAGUCGAAACCAAAGACGAAUCAGAAGAAACAGAGAGAGCCGAGAGUGGCGUUCAUGACAAAGAGCGAGGUUGAUCAUCUCGAAGAUGGUUACAGAUGGAGAAAGUACGGCCAAAAAGCUGUGAAAAACAGCCCUUUUCCUCGGAGUUACUACCGUUGCACCACGGCGACUUGCAACGUGAAGAAGAGGGUGGAGAGAUCAUUCACUGAUCCAAGCAUCGUGGUGACGACAUACGAGGGUCAACACACACACCCUAGUCCUCUAAUGUAUCGUCCGCCUUUCUGUACCCGAGCCGCCGGAAACUUUAUCAGCUCCGCCGCCGGCGGCGGAAGCUCCGGCCUUUCUGCAGAAAGUUCCACACUUUCACCUCAAUCUCAGCAAUUCGUUCAUUACCAACAGCAACACUUGUCUUCUUAUGGCGGUGAGUACCUCAACGGCUAUGAUCAUAUACUGAAGAAGACUCAGCUUUGUAGCAACCCGGGUGGGGCUGCAGCAGGUUUAACGGUGAAGGACCAUGGCCUUCUUGAAGAUGUCGUCCCGUCUCUUAUGUUUAAGGAUAACUAGUGUGGCAUAUAUACAUACAUAUAUAUAACGUCGUGAUUUUGGAGUGGGUAUUAGGUUAUUUGUAAUUGUUACAAGCACCAGGAGGGUCGUCUUCUUCAUAUGUAGAUCGGUGUAAAAGCAGAUACUGUACUGAUGAAUAAAGCUCUUGACUUGCGAUCUUUCUUGAAAAUGGUGUUUGGAAUGCGGGGAGGCGGAAGACGACAAGAAAGGAAUUCGGUGACUCCAUUGUCAGAGUUCUUGGCGUUGUCAGAGGGAACGUACAGUGGUUUCACUGAGAAAGCACGACAAUCAAGCAAGAUUCCGAGCAAUGUUUCUAGGGCUUCCAUUUCCCCUUAGUGGUGAAACCAUUAAUGAUAUCUCUCUUUUCUU